This is a long non-coding RNA of Microtus oregoni (creeping vole), 403 nucleotides long. RefSeq lists it as uncharacterized. Lineage: Eukaryota; Metazoa; Chordata; Mammalia; Rodentia; Cricetidae. The record is from RefSeq and is a predicted model, not a curated record. The transcript has 2 exons.
GACUAAAGUGAAUGCAGAAGAGGCUGGAAUUUUCUGGACAGGUCUGAGCUGCCAGGAAACGAACAAGCAGCCUCCAGGUCUGAGCUGCUGAGCAUCCAGAAUGACCCAAGUGGCUACCUUCCAACCCUUUCCAUUACAGACUAAUAUCAAAUAUAAUCUCUAUACUCAGCUGUUUCCUUCAAUCUUCAAAAUGACAGAUAUGUAUGCAAAAGAUGCAGACUAGAAACAGUUUUAAGAUGACUAUAUGAGCUGGGUACUGUUGGGUUUUCUUUCUCACCCCUCUAUACAUACAUUGUUUAAUAUAUUUAUAUAAAUAUAUGCCAUCAUGUUUUUAUGAAAGACAACUCAUAGUCAUUACAGUGAAGUUAUGUCAUAAGUUAAUAAACCGAGAGGAGCAAACAUA